Molecule: ribosomal RNA, 309 nt
Filed under: uncultured Enterobacteriaceae bacterium
Lineage: Bacteria; Pseudomonadati; Pseudomonadota; Gammaproteobacteria; Enterobacterales; Enterobacteriaceae
Description: bacterial SSU rRNA
Rfam family: Bacterial small subunit ribosomal RNA
Source: RNAcentral
UGGGAAGUAUUGCACAAUGGGCGCAAGCCAUGAUGCAGCCAUGCCGCGUGUAUGAAGAAGGCCUUCGGGUUGUAAAGUACUUUCAGCGGGGAGGAAGGGAGUAAGGUUAAUAACCUUAUUCAUUGACGUUACCCGCAGAAGAAGCACCGGCUAACUCCGUGCCAGCAGCCGCGGUAAUACGGAGGGUGCAAGCGUUAAUCGGAAUUACUGGGCGUAAAGCGCACGCAGGCGGUCUGUCAAGUCGGAUGUGAAAUCCCCGGGCUCAACCUGGGAACUGCAUUCGAGACUGGCAGGCUGGAGUCUUGUAGA